This 775-nucleotide ribosomal RNA is filed under the name uncultured bacterium. RNAcentral's name for it is "bacterial SSU rRNA". It matches the Rfam family "Bacterial small subunit ribosomal RNA", at positions 28 to 776 of the family's 1533-position model. The record is from RNAcentral.
GACGAACGCUGGCGGCGUGCCUAGUACAUGCAAGUCGAACGCUUUGAUUUUCACCGGAGCUUGCUCCACCGAAAAUCAAAGAGUGGCGGACGGGUGAGUAACACGUGGGCAACCUGCCCAACAGAGGGGGAUAACACUUGGAAACAGGUGCUAAUACCGCAUAAUUCAUUUUUCCGCAUGGAAGAAUAAUAAAAGACGCUUCGGUGUCACUGUUGGAUGGGCCCGCGCUGCAUUAGUUAGUUGGUGGGGUAACGGCCUACCAAGACCAUGAUGCAUAGCCGACCUGAGAGGGUGAUCGGCCACACUGGGACUGAGACACGGCCCAGACUCCUACGGGAGGCAGCAGUAGGGAAUCUUCGGCAAUGGACGAAAGUCUGACCGAGCAACGCCGCGUGAGUGAAGAAGGUUUUCGGAUCGUAAAACUCUGUUGUUAGAGAAGAACAAGUGAGAGAGUUACUGUUCUCACCUUGACGGUAUCUAACCAGAAAGCCACGGCUAACUACGUGCCAGCAGCCGCGGUAAUACGUAGGUGGCAAGCGUUGUCCGGAUUUAUUGGGCGUAAAGCGAGCGCAGGCGGUUUCUUAAGUCUGAUGUGAAAGCCCUCGGCUCAACCGAGGAAGGUCAUUGGAAACUGGGGAACUUGAGUGCAGAAGAGGAGAGUGGAAUUCCAUGUGUAGCGGUGAAAUGCGUAGAUAUAUGGAGGAACACCAGUGGCGAAGGCGACUCUCUGGUCUGUAACUGACGCUGAGGCUCGAAAGCGUGGGGAGCAAACAGG